Acanthosepion pharaonis is the source of this 93-nucleotide non-coding RNA. The record is from the annotation of a GenBank genome assembly. NCBI's taxonomy places the organism in Eukaryota, Metazoa, Mollusca, Cephalopoda, Sepiida, Sepiidae.
ACGUUGAAACACCGGUUCCCGUACGAUCACCGAAGUUAAGCAACGUCAAGCCUGGUCAGAUGGGUGACCGUUUGGAAAUACCACGCGCUGUAC